RNAcentral lists this ribosomal RNA (407 nucleotides) under uncultured bacterium. RNAcentral describes it as "partial 16S ribosomal RNA". It matches the Rfam family "Bacterial small subunit ribosomal RNA", at positions 30 to 526 of the family's 1533-position model. The record is from RNAcentral.
AUUGAACGCUAGCGGCAUGCCUAACACAUGCAAGUCGAACGGAGUGGCGAACGGGUGAGUAAUGCAUCGGAACUUGCCCCGUAGUGGGGGAUAACUACGGGAAAGCGGAGCUAAUACCGCAUACUAUCAGACCGGCCGAUAUCGGAUUAGCUAGUUGGUGGGGUAACGGCUUACCAAGGCGACGAUCCGUAGCUGGUUUGAGAGGACGACCAGUCACACUGGGACUGAGACACGGCCCAGACUCCUACGGGAGGCAGCAGUGGGGAAUUUUGGACAAUGGGGGAAACCCUGAUCCAGCCAUGCCGCGUGUGCGAUGAAGGGCUUCGGUUUGUAAAGCACUGUUGGCAGGGAAGCGUUACCUGCAGAAUAAGCACCGGCUAACUACGUGCCAGCCGCCGCGGUAAUUC